This 226-nucleotide unclassified non-coding RNA is filed under the name plant metagenome. RNAcentral describes it as "partial contains small subunit ribosomal RNA, internal transcribed spacer 1, and 5.8S ribosomal RNA". The record is from RNAcentral.
UUUCCGUAGGUGAACCUGCGGAAGGAUCAUUAAAGAAUUGCCCCGUCUUCUCGAAGAUGGGUUCUAUUCCAAGCCGUGUUUACAUACCUUUGUUGCUUUGGCGGGCCGCCGCUUCGGCGUUGGCUCCGGCUGACUGCGCCCGCCAGAGGACCACAACUCUUUUGUUUAGUAAUGUCUGAGUACUAUAUAAUAGUUAAAACUUUCAACAACGGAUCUCUUGGUUCUG